GGUUUUAUAUUCAAUAAUGAUAUUAAAUUGCAAAUUUAAAGGUGUUUUUAAACUAAAGCUU
RNAcentral lists this transfer RNA (61 nucleotides) under Culicoides actoni. RNAcentral describes it as "tRNA-Cys". The record is from RNAcentral. Lineage: Eukaryota; Metazoa; Arthropoda; Insecta; Diptera; Ceratopogonidae.